RNAcentral lists this unclassified non-coding RNA (325 nucleotides) under uncultured fungus. RNAcentral describes it as "partial contains small subunit ribosomal RNA, internal transcribed spacer 1, and 5.8S ribosomal RNA". The stretch from base 1 to 73 matches the Rfam family "Eukaryotic small subunit ribosomal RNA", at positions 1759 to 1831 of the family's 1831-position model. The record is from RNAcentral. Lineage: Eukaryota; Fungi.
UCAAACUUGGUCAUUUAGAGGAAGUAAAAGUCGUAACAAGGUUUCCGUAGGUGAACCUGCGGAAGGAUCAUUAACGAUUUGAAUACCAUACAUAUGGAUUCAAUUCAAUCCAUAUCCACCUUGUGUGCACCUAUUGAAAAGUGUGCUUUGGGAUGGUCUUUUUGGUCCGGUGUUUGUUUUUUUUGCACCUGGCUGGGCCUCCCAGAGACUUUUUAAUUUAACUACGUGUUAAAAAUGAACAUGUCUGAAAAUUGAACCUUUGUAUAAUAAAAAAACAACUUUCAACAACGGAUCUCUAGGUUCUGGCAUCGAUGAAGAACGCAGC